AGGGAGCGAUCUUCAUACAAAAUGUAACAAAAAACGAAACAAGUUAUAUGCACCAUGUGGUGAUUGCACGGUCAGUAAACAAGUCUUUCGGGUCUUGGAAAACUAAUGCACUACCCGUCAGAUAGGAUGGAGCCCACGGGCCGAAUGAGCGGGUGUGGGUGGCCCAUUAGCCGUAGCCGGACGAGACGAUACAAGUGGUAUCAGAGCUGAUUAGCCAUCUCGGUUCUGACCCGAGAGGCGUCUUGUGACCUUUCGUGGAGCAUAACGAGAACGUGGCGUUCUUUGAGAGAAGGUGAAUUGUAACAUUCCGGUUUGUGGUAUAUGUUGGAAGACUUAAGAGAAUUGAUUUGGCUACCCAUGUCGCCAAAGUGUGCUUACCUUUUCCGGCACACAUCCAUUUAGAACUCCAGAGCUAAGCGUGCUUGAACUGGAGUAGUAGCAGGAUGGGCACUACAAGAAAAAGGAGCUAUUGUUACGAUUUUUUGAGACUAGAUUUCUUAGUCACAUAUUUGUGACAUAACAUACACUGAUUUGUAACUG
This 540-nucleotide long non-coding RNA is filed under the name Brassica napus (rape). RNAcentral's name for it is "long non-coding RNA (BNAP_LNC021290)". The record is from RNAcentral. Lineage: Eukaryota; Viridiplantae; Streptophyta; Magnoliopsida; Brassicales; Brassicaceae.